AUUUGGGCCCUGUGCGAGUGAAUUCUGUGAACCAUGUCAGGCGGGGAACCGAGCAGCAUUAAUCAGAUGUUUUGCUGCGCCACAGAAUUACCUGAGUGUU
Molecule: signal recognition particle RNA, 100 nt
Filed under: Oscillospiraceae bacterium
Lineage: Bacteria; Bacillati; Bacillota; Clostridia; Eubacteriales; Oscillospiraceae
Description: signal recognition particle sRNA small type
Rfam family: Bacterial small signal recognition particle RNA
About the family: The signal recognition particle (SRP) is a universally conserved ribonucleoprotein involved in the co-translational targeting of proteins to membranes.
Source: RNAcentral